UAAUACGGAGGGGGCUAGCGUUGUUCGGAAUCAUUGGGCGUAAAGGGCGCGUAGGCGGCCCGGCAAGUCAGACGUGAAAUCCCUUGGCUCAACCAAGGAACUGCGUUUGAAACUGCCGGGCUUGAGUCCCGGAGAGGGCAGUGGAAUUCCCAGUGUAGCGGUGAAAUGCGUAGAUACUGGGAGGAACACCGGUGGCGAAGGCGGCUGCCUGGACGGGUACUGACGCUGAGGCGCGAAAGCGUGGGGAGCAAACAGGAUUAGAUACCCUGGUAGUCCACGCUGUAAACGAUGGGCACUUGGUGUUGCGGGUAUCGACCCCCGCAGUGCCGAAGCUAACGCAUUAAGUGCCCCGCCUGGGGAGUACGGUCGCAAGGCUG
Molecule: ribosomal RNA, 377 nt
Filed under: uncultured bacterium
Lineage: Bacteria
Description: bacterial SSU rRNA
Rfam family: Bacterial small subunit ribosomal RNA
Source: RNAcentral